AUUGCCUGCCCAGUGACUUAAGUUAAACGGCCGCGGUAUUCUGACCGUGACAAGGUAGCAUAAUCACUUGUUCCUUAAUUAGGGACUAGAAUGAAUGGCUAAACGAGGGUUCUACUGUCUCUUAUUCUCAAUCAGUGAAAUUGACCUUUCAGUAAGAGGCUUGGAUAAUAAAAUAAGACGAGAAGACCCUAUUGAGCUUAAAUUACUAGCUUAAACACUAUAAUAUUACCCCAAUUGGCUUAACAUAAAACAAAUAUGCUAGCAAUUUCGGUUGGGGUGACCUCGGAGAAUAAAUCAUCCUCCGAAUGAUUAUAACAUAGACUAACAAGUCAAAGUAACAAUUAAAACCUUAUUGAUCCAAUUCUCUUGAUCAACGGACCAAGUUACCCUAGGGAUAACAGCGCAAUCCUAUUUAAGAGUUCAUAUCGACAAUAAGGGUUUACGACCUCGAUGUUGGAUCAGGACAUCCCAAUGGUGCAGAGCUAUUAAUGGUUCGUUUG
RNAcentral lists this ribosomal RNA (500 nucleotides) under Lemniscomys striatus (typical striped grass mouse). Its description in RNAcentral is "partial 16S ribosomal RNA". It matches the Rfam family "Bacterial large subunit ribosomal RNA", at positions 1854 to 2579 of the family's 2925-position model. The record is from RNAcentral. Lineage: Eukaryota; Metazoa; Chordata; Mammalia; Rodentia; Muridae.